Molecule: ribosomal RNA, 260 nt
Filed under: uncultured bacterium
Lineage: Bacteria
Description: partial 16S ribosomal RNA
Rfam family: Bacterial small subunit ribosomal RNA
Source: RNAcentral
GAGGGCCUACGGGAGGCAGCAGUAGGGAAUCUUCCACAAUGGACGAAAGUCUGAUGGAGCAACGCCGCGUGAGUGAAGAAGGGUUUCGGCUCGUAAAGCUCUGUUGGUAGUGAAGAAAGAUAGAGGCAGUAAUUGGGCUUUAUUUGACGGUAAUUACUUAGAAAGUCACGGCUAACUACGUGCCAGCAGCCGCGGUAAUACGUAGGUGGCAAGGGUUGUCCGGGUUUAUUGGGCGGAAAGCGAGUGCAGGCGGUUCACAA